Molecule: ribosomal RNA, 501 nt
Filed under: Lactobacillus sp. NCIM 2658
Lineage: Bacteria; Bacillati; Bacillota; Bacilli; Lactobacillales; Lactobacillaceae
Description: bacterial SSU rRNA
Rfam family: Bacterial small subunit ribosomal RNA
Source: RNAcentral
GGAACUCCAUGUGUAGCGGUGAAAUGCGUAGAUAUAUGGAAGAACACCAGUGGCGAAGGCGGCUGUCUGGUCUGUAACUGACGCUGAGGCUCGAAAGUAUGGGUAGCAAACAGGAUUAGAUACCCUGGUAGUCCAUACCGUAAACGAUGAAUGCUAAGUGUUGGAGGGUUUCCGCCCUUCAGUGCUGCAGCUAACGCAUUAAGCAUUCCGCCUGGGGAGUACGGCCGCAAGGCUGAAACUCAAAGGAAUUGACGGGGGCCCGCACAAGCGGUGGAGCAUGUGGUUUAAUUCGAAGCUACGCGAAGAACCUUACCAGGUCUUGACAUACUAUGCAAAUCUAAGAGAUUAGACGUUCCCUUCGGGGACAUGGAUACAGGUGGUGCAUGGUUGUCGUCAGCUCGUGUCGUGAGAUGUUGGGUUAAGUCCCCGCAACGAGCGCAACCCUUAUUAUCAGUUUGCCAGCAUUAAGUUGGGCACUCUGGUGAGACUGCCGGUGACAAA